This 2969-nucleotide unclassified non-coding RNA is filed under the name Sipha flava (yellow sugarcane aphid). RNAcentral describes it as "uncharacterized LOC112681694, transcript variant X1". Lineage: Eukaryota; Metazoa; Arthropoda; Insecta; Hemiptera; Aphididae. The record is from RNAcentral.
UAACGUAUCGGCCGCCGCACCGUGCGCACGUGACGUUGCCUCGGUGGAAAGUUUUCCGGGCAAGUGCGCGACGGGUUUUCAGUCGUAGUGCGCGAGCGUGCAACUUCACACCUGCCGAUUCGCCGCUCAAGUGUCGCCGCCGUCCGUCUUCGAUCGGCUCCGGUUCGGUACGGGGAUCAAGCUAAAAGGAAUAGAAUAAAAAUAAAUAAUAACAAAAAAAAAAAAAAAACACUAACAUCGAAUCGUAACAAGAAACGAAAAAAAAAACAGUAAGUGCAAUAAUAACCAGUGUUAGAUGGUGAAGAGUAGUUCAGCGAAGUGCGCACGUGAUUAUUGUUACGAGACACCGAACGAACGGAAAAUUAAAAAUAAAAGUUCACGUCGGAGUUCACGAAUUGUCUUAUAUUUACGAUCGGCUUCGCGUUCCGGACGUGCGAAAUUUCCAGCGAUCAAAUAUUACCUAACGGUUUUCACGAAGGGCUGGUAAAAAAACAACGAUAAAACGAGAAAUUAAUGAUGACGUUGACGUGGAUGAUAGAAUGCAGAAUCUUGCCGACAAGACACAAUGCCACGUAACCAUGAAGACUAUGCCAUAUAUGAUCCAUGUACUGCUGAUAUUGAUAUUGAUAACCGUAAUCAACAAUUGUGGCGAAUGUAGACCGCAGUCGGGGCAGCCGAGUCAGCCGCAGGCCGGGUCGCCGCUGGACCCGAACGACACCAGCAACGGCGGCGGCAACAACAGCGCGAUAUCGCGACGCGGCUGGCGGGGCGAGUGGCGCAGGACCGACCCUGGCACCGUGUACAGUUACAUAUGGAAGAGCAGCGACCAGCCGCUCGGUAAAGCCGAACUGUACAUCAUACUCGCGCUGCUGAUCGGCAUGGCGACCGUCAUAGUCGGCUGUUGGCUAUCGGACAACUGUUGGUCGCCCGAACCGGAACAACACUACACGAUCGCGUGGCACGACCGGCACCGAUGGAUAUGAGAAACGGUCCGGGGUGGAAAAAGAACAACCCCGCGACAGCAAACCGGUCCGGACGCGGUCGUCCGCGAUCCGGUGCUCCGCCGUCAAUGUAAUCGACCGUGAACCGCAGACACAGUCCGGUAAUAAACGCACUAAUUAACGGUUACGAUAAACAACGUCCAUAACAUUUGUAACGAUCAUUGUUUUGUUAUUUGCCCGUUAGCCAUGAGCCUCCUCCCACCCCCACAAUCCGGUCGGAAGUUGUGGGUAAUAAUUAUUAAAUCGACUCGGCGUCACCGGACCACAAAGCAACCGUUUUGAAAACAAAGAUUUAUCAAUAUCCUCGUUAUCAUCAAAUAGUUUAUUAACAUUUCUCGCGCCAUUAGUGUCGCAGUAUCUGGUAGCGGUGGAAAUAUCCGAAUUUCAAGGACCAUCCGGAUCGAUCAAUUCGAUUUCACUGCUUGCUCUAUAACUGAUUCUCGUGUUUACAAAUAUUCAAUUAACGUUGUGCUGUUAGGAUAGGUCGAUCGAGUAUUCAGUCAUGGCAUCUUUUUGAAAAUUAAAUUGCUACAGGGCUCUCGGUCCGGGACGCGUAAACGUUAUUUUCGUCGGUUGAACUCGAUGCGGAAGAUUUCAUCGUCUCCUAACGCAUCAACGCUGCCGACCACCGACAAAUAACUAUUAAUUGUUCAGCCGCACUUGCUCGUUCGCAAUGAUAAUAAAACCGGUGUACAUAUAUUUAGUUCUAGAACAAUGGUUUUCAACCUGUGCGUCGCGGCUCCCAGAGGCGUCGCCGGUUAUUAUCAAGGGAGCCGCGUUCGUAAUAAAAACUAAAAAUAAAAUUUCCGCGCACCAAUACAUAUUACAUGUUGCGUGUGUAAGACAGAUCGGCCGUCGAUAAUCGUGUUUGCGAUAUCGAGAAAUAGCAAAUUUCGAUUACUAUUUAUAAUUAGGUGAUUUGCCUCUAAUCUAAUCUAUUUUAAAUGUUCGUAUGGGAGCCGUAUAUUUUAUUUCGAAAUCAAAAGGAGCCGUGGACCCAAAAAGGUUGACAACCACUGCUCUAGAAGAUAAAGUUAUCGCACAAAUCUCGCAUAUUUUUUAAACGUGUACAUAUAAAUAGUUUGUAUAUAUCACAUAAUCCUGUUCUAAAAUACUUGUCUCUUUUUUUCAAUUCACUUUUGUAAAUACGAAACGAUUCGACAAAAUAUCAUAACCUUUUAUUAUAAUAAUGUACAUUGUGUGUUAUGUUCCAGCACCGGACGUGCAUUUCCGUGAUUUUCCUUCUAGUCGUCAAUUAUUUACAUAAAAACAUAAUGAUUAUUUAUGUUCAUGUACAUCACUAUAAUACUGUUUUACGUAUUUUAUUAACUGUCAAUUACUAUUGUGAAACCAAUAAGACGUUAGAUUUAACUUAGGUAGGUCAUUGGGACGCAAACAUAACAAGUCGUUUUCGGUGUAUUUUUUUUUUUUUUUUUUUUGUUAAACUGCAAGUGGUGUCAGACGAGAAGAAACGAUUGUACGAACAAAUAAUUAUAAAGUAUUGGUAAUGAGUUUAUUAAAGAUCAAAAGCUAUUACUUUUUCGCCUGAUGUUUUCAGUAAAAUUAAUACUUAGUUUUUAGAUAGUAAAUAGACUCCCGCUAAUGAUGUUAGAUUCUAAAAUGCAGGACCUAUUGUAUUAUUUUUCAAUACACUAAUAUCGGUUUUGUAUAAUGUGCAGGGUUAGUAGCUUUUUUAUAAUUUAAAACGAUAUAAUAACUCGUAUGCCUUCAAAUUAAGUACGUGAUACAAUCACAUGCAUAUAGUUCAUUUUACCAACCGAUAUAGUUCGUCGAUCGGGACACAGCUCGUUUUGAGUUGUAAAUAACAACUAGGUUUUUAUUUAUUACUAGGAAACAUAGUUAUAAUAUUAACUUAAAACUUAAUUCAUAUUAUUACAACGAUUUUCGUUUUAGAAGCAACUAUUGAUAACGUCCUAAGCUUGCAGUACAUUUCAGAAAAUAUUUAUA